Small nuclear RNA from Suricata suricatta (meerkat), 108 nucleotides. Lineage: Eukaryota; Metazoa; Chordata; Mammalia; Carnivora; Herpestidae. The record is from Ensembl.
GUGCUCGCUUCGGCAGCACAUAUACUAAAAAAUUGGAACGAUACAGAGAAGAUUAGCAUGGCCCCUGCGCAAGGAUGUUUACAUCUGCCUGUCUUUUCCUUUGUAAUU